UAUCUACAAAUCGAGCCGUUAAGAUUUGGAAGGGAAACGGGCAUUAGGAAAUAGAACUUAGACGAGAGAAAUAGCACGAGAGGUUACAAAGAAAUUUUAUAAAAGAUAAUAUAUUAAAUAAAAUUUAAGUAGUGUGAAUAAUAAAUGUAAAUUGUCGUAUCUUUAUUCAUAGAGAAACAUAUUUUCGUUUAUCACCUCAUCCAAAAUAAUAAAACAUAUUAUAAAAUGACAAUUUUUGGUUUAUAAUGGCAAGAAAACUACAAUUCGCAUUUAAAUGUGUGGCAUCACCGAGCGACAGAAAGACAAAUGUGAUUGCCAUAACCUCUAUCACAACUGAGAACAAUAAAAAAUGUGUUGCCAGAAAAUGAAAAAUUUGCAAGUAACCACAGCAGAUUAACAAAAACAGAAAGCUAUAAGAGAAUGAAAAAAAGUCUCAAUCAAAGAUUGACCAAGAAAGAAGAAUAUGGAUUAAAUGCACACAGGAAAUGAACAGAACGUAUUUUGAUGAAGAUGACAAUAUAACAUUUAAUGAUCUAUAUCUAGAAGAAGUAGUGGAAACAAACAUAGUAGAACCCACACAGAAGAAAAAAUACCAAAUAGAUUUAAAGUGUAUAUCAGAAAAAUUCAUGAUUGAAAAAUUUGUAUGUAAACACUCAAAUGCAGAACAAUGGUUGGAGACAUUUGAAAAAGAAUGUCGAAGAUUCGAAAUUAAAGAAGAUAACACAAAAAUUGAGAUUUUAAGAUUAUUCCUUGACAGGGCAUGUUUAGACUGGCACUCAGCAACACUAACAGCGUUGACAAUGGAGGCUGGUUGGAACGAAUGGAAACAGAAAUUCUUGAAAUCAUUUGCAGACAAGGGAUGAAGUACAAGUAUAUACACUAUAUCCUAUAGAUAUAAAGAAGGUUCACUAAUGGAGUACGCUAUGAGGAAAGAAGAACUACUACUGGAUAUGGACAACAAUAUCAGUACAAAGACUCUGAUGAUGCUUAUAGCAGCAGGAUUACCAGAAUUCAUAACAGAUAAAAUAGAUAGAAAAAAUUGUCAAAGCUCAACAGAAUUACUACAAGAAAUAAAAAAAUGUGAAAAUCUAGUAAGAACAGUUUUACAAAAAAGAAAGAGGAAAGUCAAGAUAAUAAGAAGAAAUUUGAAGAAAAGAAACCAUGUAAGAAUUGUGAAAAACUAAACAAAGGUAUUAGAUAUCAUUCAGAGGACUCCUGUUGGUUCAAAAAGGAAAA
Molecule: long non-coding RNA, 1236 nt
Organism: Vespa crabro (European hornet)
Lineage: Eukaryota; Metazoa; Arthropoda; Insecta; Hymenoptera; Vespidae
Exons: 2
Source: RefSeq, a predicted model, not a curated record